AAUGUUUGUUUUCAUUAUGUAAGAGUGGCCUUCAAUCAUUACUUACCCUGAAUAUUAGUUUCUCAUGUAAAAAAACAGAGUUACAUAAGCUUAUGGGAAAAUCCAAAUAAAAAAUUUUCUUUCCAUUAUAAUAGAAACUCAUGUUUUACUCUGAAUGCAGGUGCUGUGAUGCCAUCUAGGCAAAGAGAUUAUAAGAAAAAUGAUGAAAUCACGAUGUCCUCAUUUCUCCAUAAUGUUGUGGGAUCAAGAAUUGUGAAAAGAAGGAAAAAUGAAUCUGAAAUCAACAACCAUUAUCUCAUAUGGACUCUAGAUAGAUCUUUGACCUGACUAUUCAUACAUCAGAGGAAUAAUGAUGAAAUUUGAAAACUGUUCACAAAAGUAAUAUUGUUUUAUGGUCUGAAGAUUAAUAUUCUGUAAAUGAAGAAACAAAGAGCCUGACAGAUUAGGAACAUGAAGAGAGCUAACACUUCUGGCAACAAAUGAUUCCAUUUCAAGAUUUUUAAACACUUAAUUAAAAUAAAACUCUUAUAAAAGUGUAAAGAAACACUAUGAAUAGUGAAAGGGAAUAAGAGAGGUUUCAAAUGAGUUUGUUUUUUAUGUAUUUUUCUCAUUAAUUUGCAAGAAGGCAACUUAUACAUUUGCAUUAGGAUGAGGUUGGGGAUCAUAGCGACUUUAAAGUGCCGACUAUUUUAUUUUUGUAAAUGUGCAAAACACUUAAAAUAUCAGAACCAAAUGCUGCAUAUUUUAACAAGUAAAAGGAAAGCUGACUAUCAAUAAUGUAUGAUAUUACACUACAUAAUAAGAAAUGUAUGAUUUUAUUUUCUUUAAAUACAUUUUUAUAAACAUGAAAUAGAAUUGCUCUUAUAAUACAUUUUGAAUUUAUUGGGGUAUUAUUUGAUUUGAAAUUCAAUGAAGUAAAAUGAGAAAGGAUUUUAAAAUACGUAUAAGACAUUUGAUCCCAAACUAGAUACUUUUCACAUUUACAGAUAUUACUAGACUGUAAUUAAAGGGACAUGAAUAGUUUGCAUCUUUUUACUGUUGUAGCCUAAGGGUCUCACCGGAACACAGAGCAUGAACCUAGCAUAUACUCCUAGCGUCUAUGUGCUUGACGCAUAAAUGAAAAUCACUGAGGAUGAGUUAAGAAAUGAUUUUUUGUUUAAAUUUCCAUCAGUAGUUUCUAACUUUAUUUUUUGAAAUUUAAUAGAAUCUGUGAAUUUGUUUUCUGACAAAAUAUAAAUAUGCAAUCUAUAGUUUAAAACUUGUGUAUUUUUGGAUACAAUUUUUGAUGGACACCCCAUAAUGAGACACCUUUGGGCUUCAUAGAUCCAUCUAUUGCCAAAAAUGUUAGUGAAGCUGUAAAAAUACUCAAAAUUCAAAAGUAUUGGAGAUAGAUUUUAAUGUAUUUUUAAAAUUUAAAUCUAAUACUAUUCUUUUUUUCUUCUUCAGCCUUAAGCUCCUGUUUGUGUUUCUCCUUUAUACUUUACAGCAAAGGAAAAAGCAACAAGAUGUCCAUGACCUUCAUGAAGUACGGAGAGAGAAGAGGCUAUAAAUGCAAUUAGUGCUGCUGCAGACCUCUGACCCUUGAUGUUGGAGUCCUUUAGGUUUCUUAGGUAAAUUUAGCUCUUCCAUGGAACCUGAAACCUUUGGGGAAAAAAGGCUGGAGGAAAACAGAGAUCGUGCAAGGUGAAAGGGUUUCUGAGUGGAGAAUUGAAGCCGCAAACUGCACAUGUCAUCAUCUCUUUAACUCUACAGUGCACUGCUUUGUUGCUCCCUGGAUUCCUGUGAUCUUUGCUUCCAUUUUGCAGAGAUCUAGCUUCUCCUGGAUUAGUAGAUUGGUAGAUGAAAUUGGCAUGUUUCUGUCUAGAAUUUAACUAAAUAUGCUUAGAUUUAAGUACAUUUCCUUACAAAUGGUUUAGAAGAAAAUGAUGUUCUACCUAUGCUAAAUCAACUUCAUCUUCACAUAUGUUUUCUCCACAUGAAAAGGAAAUUGUUUCAAAAUCAAUAGAAUGCUAAUUUCACACUACCCAUAGCUUACCUUGGCAUUUUGAUUAGGAAACAUAGUCUUUUCAGCUCCUCUCUGAAAUCACAUUUCUUUAUUUUUUUUUCUCAUGAGAAAAAGAGUUUGUCUUUUUUAGAAGGUUACUAAAAAAAAAUUAAAUUCCUUUAUUAUUUCAUUUUUUAUUCCUUAAGGUAUACCAUUAUGCUGCAAUUUGAGAGCAGUAAAAUUUAGUAUGAAUAUCAACUUUUAUAAAUUGCUCCUAACUUUAAAAGCCUCAGUUAUAUCAUUUGAUUUCUGACAUUAUUUUCUGUUUUUCUGAGGGAACUGAAAGAUUCACUGUUGAUUUUUUGGUAUGUGUAAAAUGUUUAUAAAAUAUGUCUUUCAAUCUUGCUAACACAAAACUCCAAAGCUGGCCACCUAAGCAACAAAGAUUUUUAGGGUAGCUUGAUUUUGUCAUUAUUUUUCUUGCAGCAUUAGUAGAAUUUUGUUAAGUAGGAGAAAGGGUAUUUGGUAUAUUACAGAGUAAUUUUUUAUUUUUAUUUUUUCCUUUUACUUUUAGUUGACACAUAACAAUUGUACAUAUGUAUGGGAUACAGAGUGAUAUUUCAAUAUGUGUAUACAAUGUGUAAUGAUCAAAUUAGGGUAAUUAGCAUUUCUAUCACCAUCAAAACAUUUAUCAUUACAGAGUAGAUUUUUGAAUGUAAGUUGGUUAUAUUACCAACUUGGUUGUUGGCAAUUUGCUGUACUGAUCUCCCUCUUUUCAAAGUUAACUUGUAUAAUUUGUUUUUCAAGGUAGGUUAACACACCAAUUCAUUCAUCAUGGGAAAAGAUCCUAGGGGCUUUUAAAAAUUUCACAAAAUACAGGAACCCCAUAAUAUCACUAAAAAUACUCAUUUAACUUUUGCUUGAAGAUGUCUGUGGUUCUCAUUACUUCAAAGAAAGUCACUCUAUUCCUUUCUGGAGAUGAAAGAGCACCCUAUUUCCAUAUUCAUUAGGGAGUUGUUUCUUAUAUGAUCUGAAAUCUAUGUCCCUGUAAUUCCAACUCAUUAGUUCCCACUCUCAUGUACGAAACUAUGCAGAUGAAUUUUUACCUUAUUUCUACAUGAAAUUCCUCCAAAUAUCAAAUAUUAAAUACCUAGGUUUCAAAAUUCUUCCUAAAAUAUAACAGACAGGACUGAACACAGUGCUAUAUAUAUCACCUAGGCAGUACAAUGAAUAAUGGAAUUACUCUUCCUUUUCUAGGGACCAGGAAUGGAUGUUAGCACUAAGAUCAUUAUCCCCCAGCCCUGCAGCUCUGCUGGUCAAAAUUGAGUAAAUUAACAACUAUACUCCUCCUCCUCCUGGUUACUUAUUGGGCAGCCACUACUAUGUUAAGCAGUUUAUUUAUAUAACAGCCAUCUUACGUGGGUACUUCACUUAUGUGAAACACACAAGGAAACCAGAAUUUACCCAAGGUAACAUAAACUACAAAAUAACAUAACUACAAAGAAGAUGGGAAGCCUGAACUCUCUCAUCUCACUGCUCAUAUUUUUAGGCACUUGGCAAUAUUGUAUUCCCUAACUAAAACACCGAGAACUCUGUCAUAUGAUCAGUAUUGCUGGUGAGAUGAUCCUCAGAAGAAUAUAUCUGUCCUUUGGCUUUGGGCUAGAUGUCUGGCACCUGAACCUCCAACCUGAUGCACAAUCCUUCCCUGUAAUUUUGAUAUAUGACCUAGCCUGUUAGAAAAAGUGGUUUCCUUUUAAUAGGCUCUUUUUAAAGUUAUCCUUUACAUUUUUUUCUUUAAAAAAUAUCCAGAAUUAGAUUCUGUGUUUACUACUAAGAUUGAUAGAUAGACUUAUCUAAAUAUUGUUAGGCCACCAUCAUUUUUUUGUUGUUUUUGCUGUGAUCAGGAUGCAUUAUAUUACAGUACUUUCCUUAUUUUCUUGUCCAGUAAUCUUAUUAAACAUGAGGCUAACUUUGCUUGUUCUGUAGAAACUACAUUCUUUUCUAAGUGCUUACCAUCUCUCUGUUGAAUAAAUUAAUUCAUUUAUAAUUUUCUAGGGAUUGUAGUAAAAAAUUAAAUCUAUUUUAGCAACAGUAAUGUAUCAAUUUCUUAUUCUGAAAAUUAUGGAUUAUCCAUUCCUAGACUUCUGUUGAUAAUAACAGAAAUAAUAUUGUCAGCACUUUAUAUCUUAGGUUAUAAUGUUUAGAUGUCAAAAAAGUUGUCACAUUAAUCUACUAAGAACAAUUUCUUUCAAAUUGUUUUAGAAAGGAAUCAACUUAAACAUUUGCUUGUGUAAUCAGUAUAUUUUAUUUGACAACAUGCUUGCCCUUUCAAAAUUUUCUCUGAUAGUAACUUAUUGUCUCUUUUAGUCAUUCUCUAAGCAAUUUUUCUUUCUAUCUUUAUAAUUCUGGUCCUCUUUUUCCCCACCUAUCUUUUCUUCCUACGUUCCAAUAUACAUUCAAAAGGCCCAGAAACAGUCUAGUCUUCAAAAAGAAAUUAUUUUCACUAUGGCAGUCUACAUUAGUAAUUGUUUUCUAGUGCCCCUAGUAAUUCAUAUCAUACUACCUAGCACUUUACUUUAAACUAACUAAUGUUUCUCUUGAUAUAUCAAAUAUG
RNAcentral lists this long non-coding RNA (4598 nucleotides) under Homo sapiens (human). RNAcentral describes it as "HSALNT0040642". Lineage: Eukaryota; Metazoa; Chordata; Mammalia; Primates; Hominidae. The record is from RNAcentral.